Equus caballus (horse) is the source of this 1792-nucleotide long non-coding RNA. The record is from Ensembl. Lineage: Eukaryota; Metazoa; Chordata; Mammalia; Perissodactyla; Equidae.
CCCUGCCCUGCAACCUCAGCCAAGCCCACAGCAAUUCCUCCUGGUGCCCAGCGCUGGCCACAGGGACACAGCUGAGGGCACAGUCCAGACACGUGCUUGGGGCCACCCACAGGAUAGGGGAGCAGGCUGCACAAACUGUCCCAUGCAUCUACUGGGUCUCAGCACAGUGGGUAGAGAAGUAAGGGCCAAUUCCGAGCCCCCCACCCUAGACACUUGACACACUAUCUCCUUUAAUCCUCACUUGCCCCCAUUUCACAGAUGAGAAAACUGAAGCCCAGAGAGAUUAAGGGACCUGCCCAAGAUCACACAGCAAGUGAACCCUAGGCCUGUCAGUCUUCUUACUGCAUGGCAGCCACUGCCACCCACCCCGCAGGGUUGCUCCCCACCCCCAGCUUGCCACCCAUGACCCUCCCAGCCAGGGUUCUGGAUGCUGUCCACCGUUGAUAUUACGGCCACUUCAGGAAAGACAGUAGAUUGUAUAGUUACCCCAUAGCAGGGCAGAGCCCCAAACUAUACAACCUACUACCUCACCCCAAAGGGCCGUCAGUCUUGGCUCCCGGACGGACUUCACGGCUUCCAGAGGCACCUCCUGGAAGGAGGAGAGGCACUGGGGAACCAGGGCUGGGGGCCAGGCCAUCUGGGUGCUAAGGGGACAGGGACUCUGGCAGGCAGGUCAGCAAAAGGCCUGGGCACCAGCGAACUGCCGGCAGCACCACCGCAGAGAGGGUGCCCCAGGAGAAAGCCACCAACCAAAAGGGGAGAGAGAGGGGAGGGAGGGAGGGCAUGGGGAGAAGUUCGAGGUGGCUUUUGGGAAACUCUUACAGGCGACUGGACCACUCCCAUCUGGACAGGAGUGGUCACCAUGUCCCCAAGGGACUUCUGCAUUAGUGACACUGGGAGGAAGGUUGUCAAUUGUUAGAGGCCAUGUGUCAGAAAGGUGCCGUGAGUGUCUACAUGGCUGCCCACCCUCCGACCAACAGCCCAGCCUCCGGCUCCUGGCCACACCAGAUGCCCCUGUGAUCUGCGGGCCUGCUCCCUCCACCCCCGGGACAGGUGCGACUCCCUCCCCGCAGGCUCUGCUGAUCUGGUCCUGCAUCUAGGGUGACCUGAGCCGCCCCCACUUUGCAAGAGGCCUCUGGAUGCUGUUCUUUUCUUCUAAAGGGAACCUGGCUCCCAGGGGAGUGGCUGGGCCAGAACUGGACCCUCGAGGGACACACAGGCCCAGAGGCAGCCUCGAUAAACAUCCACAACAGCCACCGGCAUGGCCACCACCUUCCUGGGGAACCCUGUGAAGCCGAUGAGGCAAGGACUACUGUCCACCCAUCUCACAGGUGAUGAGACUGAGGCCCACCCAGAGAGGCGACAUGAAGUUCACGCAGCCGUUGGCAUCAGAGCAGAGCUCCGAACGUUCUGAUUUCUGCCUAGUCAAGUGCAAAGAGAGCUCUGAGCUCUGAAACUUCAAACCUCCUUCCACAUCCCUUCCUAGCAGGCUGCCUCCUCCAGGCAGGCACCAGGCUGGGCCGUGCCAUUUGGUCCUCACAGGCCUGGUAAGGCCAGGAUCACCAAUCCCAUUUCUCGGUGAGGAAACUGAGGCUCAGAUGGGCAGGGUCCCUGACCCCAGGUCAGCAGAGGGCUCCCUCUCAGGCUCUCCCAGGCUUGGCCUUGCCCAUGGCUGCAGAGGGAGGUCUCGUGCUCAGGCCCAAGCAGCAAGCAGCUGCUGCCCCCGAACCCCUGGGUGUCAGGCGCUGUGCUGACAACACCCUGUGCAGGCGUGUGCCCUGCCCACAAGGGG